UACGGAGGGGGCCAGCGUUGUUCGGAAUCAUUGGGCGUAAAGGGCGCGUAGGCGGCCGAUCAAGUCCGACGUGAAAUUCCUCGGCUCAACCGAGGGCCUGCGUCGGAUACUGCUCGGCUUGAGUCCCGGAGAGGGUAGUGGAAUUCCCAGUGUAGCGGUGAAAUGCGUAGAUACUGGGAGGAACACCGGUGGCGAAGGCGGCUACCUGGACGGGUACUGACGCUGAGGCGCGAAAGCUAGGGGAGCAAAC
RNAcentral lists this ribosomal RNA (250 nucleotides) under uncultured bacterium. RNAcentral describes it as "partial 16S ribosomal RNA". It matches the Rfam family "Bacterial small subunit ribosomal RNA", at positions 524 to 773 of the family's 1533-position model. The record is from RNAcentral.